GGGCGAAUGGUUUAGUGGUAUAAUACUCCCUUAGCACUGUUCAUUCGAAUAAUUGGGAGUGGUCCAGGGUUCGAUUCCCUGUUCGUCCA
This 89-nucleotide transfer RNA is filed under the name Dactylonectria macrodidyma. RNAcentral's name for it is "Ilyonectria macrodidyma tRNA". It matches the Rfam family "tRNA". From Rfam's summary of the family: Transfer RNA (tRNA) molecules are approximately 80 nucleotides in length. Their secondary structure includes four short double-helical elements and three loops (D, anti-codon, and T loops). The record is from Rfam by way of RNAcentral. Lineage: Eukaryota; Fungi; Ascomycota; Sordariomycetes; Hypocreales; Nectriaceae.